CAAACAGGCGCAUGCCGUGGGAGCAGCGGGGGGCGCGUUGCGUCCCGGGCAGCAGCGAGCGCUGCGGCGCGUGCCUUGGGGCGACGGAUGGCCCCGCACUAGCGGCCGGCGGCGGGAGGCUCGUGGGCCGCGGCUGCCCACGCGCGCAGGCUCCCCGCGCGCCGCCGCAGCCAUGCCGCCGAGCGGAGCUGGGAACCCCUCCUCCGGUGAUUCGCCGCCGGACCCUAAACCCCCUCGCGACCCGCCCGUGAUGGCAGUGCCGCCGCCCCCGCUGAUGCUGAUGCCGGUGCCGAAUCGGGCGUGGAAUCGGGGUGGGAGGAGGAGGAGGGGGAAGAAGGCGAGGGACGAGGACCUGCCACCUCUGCCAUGGCAGGUGUGGGAGGCGGCCAACAAAAAGGUGGCUUGACGAGCGGGGGAAGGGCGUCGGCCACGACGAGGUCCCGGACGACGCCAGGGCCGUGGCGACCGUAACACCACGGCAGCGGGCCCGGAGGUGGUGCUCCCGCUCCUGCGCUUCCAUAAGGAGUGGCUCGCGUGGGUGUUGCCGCACGAGGCCUCAGUCUCGCGGGGCGAGUGGGCGACAUCCUCGCCGACGACAUCCUCGCCGACGAGAUGGGGAUUAAUGAUUAAUCCCCUCUCGAGAUUCAAAGAAGAAACCAGCCGUCGAAAUGCUUGGUCGUGGGACUGAUAGAGAAGGUGUGGCUGCUUCGUCCGUCGCCGUGGACGCAGAGAUUGGUGAAGUCAUACGCCAUGCGCGCCGGCACGGAGCGCAGCACCGUCGCCUCCUCCUCCGAACGCAGCUUCUCUUGGCGCCUGCGGGUGGCCACGGACGGAACUGAGGUAUGGACGCGCUUGUGAUUUGAGAGCAUGCAUUCAGGGAGGCAGGGAGUGCUUUCUUCGUCCGUUGCAAUGCGAGGUGAAAAGGGCAUUUCUUCCGAAUGGCUUAGUUAGUUUGAUGUGCCUUUUUUUUCCUUGCAAAAGAGGUGGUGCUGUGAGUCUGUAGCACAAUACUGCUCAGGUAUGGCCAUCUACAUUUAUGUGAAAUGCAUCAUCCAAAGGAGUACACAAACCCCAAUCUGUUCUGCUACUGUUCUGCUUAGCAGGCUCCAUUUAUUCAGUGCUGUUAUUUUGGAAGCCGAGAAGAAAACUGUGUUCUGCUACUGCUACAAUCCUUGAGCUACGCCGCUCGACAGAAUAUUGGGCGUCAGAAAGAUAUACUAAUUGCUGGCAAAGCUCAGAUCACUGGGUGGUAGGCAAUCCAUUAUCCCUCUAAGAAGAAAAUCCCCCAGAGAUGUCGAUCACAGCAGUGAAACCCUGAAAAUGGUUGCAUGGGGAAAUCAGCACAAAUUACAGAAAUCCAAGAGCCGGUGGUUGGGGGAUGGGGUGCAAUAUAGAUAGAUAGAUGAUGGGGUGAUCAUGCUUACAGCAGAGCAUGCAUUCCAUGAGUGUGAUUCAUGCAGUUGUUCAGGUCCAUUUAAUUUGUGUUGGAGAAUUAAACUACAUAUCGCUGACAGCAUUUUAAAACAUUGGCAUGGCUAUGCCAUCUAUAUCUAUGUGUCCUCUUUUUCAUGGAUCUUAAAUACAUCAUAUUUGAUGCUUCAA
Panicum virgatum (switchgrass) is the source of this 1602-nucleotide long non-coding RNA. RefSeq lists it as uncharacterized. The record is from RefSeq and is a predicted model, not a curated record. NCBI's taxonomy places the organism in Eukaryota, Viridiplantae, Streptophyta, Magnoliopsida, Poales, Poaceae. The transcript is spliced from 2 exons.